This 220-nucleotide long non-coding RNA is filed under the name Nicotiana benthamiana. Its description in RNAcentral is "long non-coding RNA (NBEN_LNC036098)". Lineage: Eukaryota; Viridiplantae; Streptophyta; Magnoliopsida; Solanales; Solanaceae. The record is from RNAcentral.
UGUGCAUGGUUCCCAAGUUGACGGGGAAACAAAAUUACAACUUUUGGAGGAUUCAGAUGGAGACACAUCUGAAGGCGUAUAAUUUGUUAAAAUAUACGCAGAAGAACUGGAGGAAGGUGCCGAAGAGAAUGAAAUAAAGCGUGAUAGUAUGGCCUUAUCCCAAAUAUACCAGGCCAUCGAUAUGUCUGUGUUUGGCAAAAUUUCCACAGCCCAAACAACA